UUUUAGCCCCGAUUAAACGGCUUGUUUGAGCUCUCCCGAUUCGUCGGGAAGCGAGUAGUGAAAGCGGGUGUAGUC
RNAcentral lists this unclassified non-coding RNA (75 nucleotides) under Kaistella jeonii. RNAcentral's name for it is "Chryseobacterium jeonii Flavo-1 RNA". The record is from RNAcentral. Lineage: Bacteria; Pseudomonadati; Bacteroidota; Flavobacteriia; Flavobacteriales; Weeksellaceae.